CUACGGGUCGCAGCAGUGGGGAAUCUUAGACAAUGUGGGAAACCCUGAUCUGGCCAUGCCGCGUGAGUGAAGAAGGCCCUAGGGUUGUAAAGCUCUUUCAAUAGUGAGGAUAAUGACAGUAGCUAUAGAAGAAGCCCCGGCUAACUUCGUGCCAGCAGCCGCGGUAAUACGAAGGGGGCGAGCGUUGUUCGGAAUUACUGGGCGUAAAGAGUACGUAGGCGGAUUGGUCAGUUAGAAGUGAAAGCCUUGGGCUUAACCCGAGAAUUGCUUUUAAUACUGCCGGUCUUGAAUCCUGGAGAGGAUAGGGGAAUUCCCAGUGUAGAGGUGAAAUUCGUAGAUAUUGGGAGGAACACCAGUGGCGUAGGCGCCUAUCUGGACAGGUAUUGACGCUGAGGUACGAAAGCGUGGGGAUCAAACAGGAUUAGAUACCCGGGUAGUC
This 439-nucleotide ribosomal RNA is filed under the name uncultured bacterium. RNAcentral's name for it is "partial 16S ribosomal RNA". It matches the Rfam family "Bacterial small subunit ribosomal RNA", at positions 339 to 795 of the family's 1533-position model. The record is from RNAcentral.